AUAUAUAGAUUUGGUAAAGUCCAACAACGCGUAAUGAAAAUGGCCAAAUGGAUACUUUAACAAAAAUGUAUAUAAAUUACAACUCCAAAAUAUCAAAUCUCAAACAAACCCAAUUUUCUCAAUUUUAACACAAACAUUAAUUUUGUGUGACAUAUAAGGUGUAAGGAAAAAAAAUGAAGAAAAUUUGUACUAGUAUAUUUAAUUUUCUUGUAAUAUUUCUUACUUUAUCAUUGUGUAUGCAAAGCGAAUCGAGGAUAUUAAACUUGUCCGAUUUCGUAGAGACGAGUCAGGUGCGAGGCCGCAGCAUCAGGCAGACACUCAAACCCAAUCCUUCUCCAAUGCCAAAUACUAAUACUCAUCAAUUUAUAAGUCCACCUCCAAUGAUCGUGAAAUAAGGAAGAAGGCUGAUCCUGGAUUUGAUGAUUUUGUAGUUUAAUUCCUUUUUUAAAAAAAUAUAUUAUUUUUAAAUAAUUUUUAUCGAUGAUAAUUAAUGAAAAUUCUAUCCAUUGUUUUCUUUAAUAUUAUAGCAAUUUAAAAAAUAUAUAUAUACAUGAAGGUAACAUAUUUGUGCCCUUUGAAGCUAUAUAAAAAUUCACCCCUACGAUU
Long non-coding RNA from Solanum lycopersicum (tomato), 606 nucleotides. RefSeq lists it as uncharacterized. The record is from RefSeq and is a predicted model, not a curated record. NCBI's taxonomy places the organism in Eukaryota, Viridiplantae, Streptophyta, Magnoliopsida, Solanales, Solanaceae.